UGUCUGUGUGUGUGUGUGUGUGUGUGUGUGUGUGCACGCAUGUGUCUGUGUGUGUGUAUAUGUGUUGCAAUGCCAUAGACAAGCUGCAGCUUGCCACUGAGUGUGAACAGUAGUAGCAAGAGAGCGAGAAGGAAAGGAGAGAGACGACCCAGACGCCUCUCGUCUCUCUCACACCUCCCUUCGAGCAUAAUAAUAACGAGACACCGCAGCACAAGAACGAAAGAGAGGCAGAGGGAGAGGAAGAGGCAGCGAGAUAAAAGGCAAGCAGUAGAGGACUGAUAUCCAGGAUACUUCUUCCUCAAUCGGCUCUCGGCUCUCGGCUCUGAAGCAGACGCUGAGGAAACACCAACAAGACGCUGAGGAAAUGCUGGGAAAACACUGAGCAAAAGAGCGAGAACAUACUGACAAAUAUCUGAGGACAAACCGAGGAAACGUGGAGAAGAUACUGAGAAAGACUGACAGCGCACUGAGAAAAUUUGGAGCUAACACCAGGAAACCAAGAAGAUGCUCAGAACACGCUGUGAACAUUCUGAGGAAACACCAAGGAAACAAUGAGAUGUUGAGAUGAUGCUAUGAAGAUACAGAGGAAACAGUUUUGAGAACUAAGAACCAAAGAGUCUGAGGAAAGCCUGAGGAACCACGGAGGAGCCGUUAGCGCGGCCUGAUCUGUAGCCCAGGUGGUCUCCUACGGGGUGGGCAGAAAUGCAGUCUGGGCCAGCCUUCAGCCUUCAGAGAGCUCUAGCACAGCCUGUGAGGAUGUGCAUGUUGGACUUCCAUCUCUCCAUCCUCGAUCAUCUGCUUUCAUUCUUUUCAGGAGACCUGCUUUCAGUUUUUCGAAGAAAUCUGCAUGUAACAUAGAGCGAGGAGGCGGACGCACGUGCGGAGACAGUCCAGGGUCAUAGAGCCAACGCGAACAGAACGUGGCGCCGACAUGAUAAACAAACACAGAACCUCAAACAAGAAACAAAACAACACGAGAAUACAACACAUACAUCCAACAAACAUCAAACAUCCCAAACAAAGACAAACACAGGGCUUAAAUACAGCAGGGAUGAUGAGGGACAGGUGGAAACAAUCAGGGGCGGAGUCACGAAACAAGGGGCCGGACUAGACGGAAAAACAAAUGCAAGUGGACGAUGAAAAAGUAAGCAGAAAAAGCACAUGGAGUAGUGGGAGGAGCCAACCGGGACACUACAGAGAUACUUUUUCCACACCUCCAGAGUUCAGUCUCAGAAGUUGGUUGCACUUUCUGUUUCUCACGGUCCAGGUUACCCCAGAUGUUCGAUGCUGGUGGUCAGUAUGUUGUUCUGAAAACACCGGCGGCUUCUUGGUUUGGUCUUGCUUUUGUAUUUCCCCUUUUCAAAAGUGAUUAACUUGUACUUUGAUCGGAAAUUAAACAAACGAAGGGUGGUC
This is a long non-coding RNA of Pygocentrus nattereri (red-bellied piranha), 1413 nucleotides long. RefSeq lists it as uncharacterized. Lineage: Eukaryota; Metazoa; Chordata; Actinopteri; Characiformes; Serrasalmidae. The transcript has 2 exons. The record is from RefSeq and is a predicted model, not a curated record.